UGCGACCUCAGGUCAGGCGGGGCAACCCGCCGAGUUUAAGC
This 41-nucleotide ribosomal RNA is filed under the name Thalia dealbata. RNAcentral describes it as "partial 26S ribosomal RNA". The record is from RNAcentral. Lineage: Eukaryota; Viridiplantae; Streptophyta; Magnoliopsida; Zingiberales; Marantaceae.